This 215-nucleotide long non-coding RNA is filed under the name Elaeis guineensis (African oil palm). RNAcentral's name for it is "long non-coding RNA (EGUI_LNC072592)". The record is from RNAcentral. Lineage: Eukaryota; Viridiplantae; Streptophyta; Magnoliopsida; Arecales; Arecaceae.
CCUCAUCAUAGGUCUUGGGAUCAUCACCAUGAGUCCCAUUUUCUAUGAGGAACAUUUUCUCUACUUCUUCUUGUAUAGUACCUAAGUAUCUUUCAGGAGGAUGAAAAACCCUAGUUGAUCUACGAGGUGGAAGAUGUUGUGUUAGAAUUGGUUUUGAUUGAUUUGGUUCCUCAGGUUCUUUAGCUCAUUGUUCUUGGGAGACAUUUUUCUUGAGC